This 316-nucleotide RNase P RNA is filed under the name Flavobacterium sp. RNAcentral describes it as "RNase P RNA component class A". It matches the Rfam family "Bacterial RNase P class A". Rfam says of the family: Ribonuclease P (RNase P) is a ubiquitous endoribonuclease, found in archaea, bacteria and eukarya as well as chloroplasts and mitochondria. Its best characterised activity is the generation of mature 5'-ends of tRNAs by cleaving the 5'-leader elements of precursor-tRNAs. The record is from RNAcentral. Lineage: Bacteria; Pseudomonadati; Bacteroidota; Flavobacteriia; Flavobacteriales; Flavobacteriaceae.
CCCGCAGACCGCCUUAUCGCCACGCCCAAAAGCGUGGAGGAAAGUCCGGACACCACAGAGUAGCAUAGCGGGUAACGCCCGUCAGUUCAAGCAAUUGAAUUAGGACAAGUGCAACAGAAAGUAUGUACAGGUAAUGCUGUAGUGAAACCAGGUAAACUCUAUGCGGUGAAAUUUCAAGUAUAUCGGCAUUUAAGGAUGACUCGUCCGUUGUCGAAGGGUAGAAAGAUUGAUCUUGUUGGUAACAACGAGACUAGAUAAAUGAUAAGGGUUUCGAGCAAUCGAAAUACAGAAUCCGGCUUAUAGGUCUGCUUUUUUU